AAGCAGAGGGGGCUUAGUGGUGGGGUGACUGCGUACCUUUUGUAUAAUGGGUCAGCGACUUAUAUUCUGUAGCAAGGUUAACCGCAUAGGGGAGCCGAAGGGAAACCGAGUCUUAAUUGGGCGUUAAGUUGCAGGGUAUAGACCCGAAACCCGGUGAUCUAGCCAUGGGCAGGUUGAAGGUUGGGUAACACUAACUGGAGGACCGAACCGACUAAUGUUGAAAAAUUAGCGGAUGACCUGUGGCUGGGGGUGAAAGGCCAAUCAAACCGGGAGAUAGCUGGUUCUCCCCGAAAGCUAUUUAGGUAGCGCCUCGUGAACUCAUCUCCGGGGGUAGAGCACUGUUUCGGCUAGGGGGCCAUCCCGGCUUACCAACCCGAUGCAAACUGCGAAUACCGGAGAAUGUUAUCACGGGAGACACACGGCGGGUGCUAACGUCCGUCGUGAAGAGGGAAACAACCCAGACCGCCAGCUAAGGUCCCAAAGUCAUGGUUAAGUGGGAAACGAUGUGGGAAGGCCCAGACAGCCAGGAUGUUGGCUUAGAAGCAGCCAUCAUUUAAAGAAAGCGUAAUAGCUCACUGGUCGAGUCGGCCUGCGCGGAAGAUGUAACGGGGCUAAACCAUGCAC
This 624-nucleotide ribosomal RNA is filed under the name Salmonella enterica. RNAcentral's name for it is "partial 23S ribosomal RNA". It matches the Rfam family "Bacterial large subunit ribosomal RNA", at positions 568 to 1194 of the family's 2925-position model. The record is from RNAcentral. Lineage: Bacteria; Pseudomonadati; Pseudomonadota; Gammaproteobacteria; Enterobacterales; Enterobacteriaceae.